Long non-coding RNA from Oncorhynchus keta (chum salmon), 543 nucleotides. RefSeq lists it as uncharacterized. The record is from RefSeq and is a predicted model, not a curated record. NCBI's taxonomy places the organism in Eukaryota, Metazoa, Chordata, Actinopteri, Salmoniformes, Salmonidae. The transcript has 3 exons.
UGUUUAAUGAGUCCUCCAGAUCAGAGGUAGUAGGGAUGACCAGGGAUGUUCUCUGUUUAAUGAGUCCUCCAGAUCAGAGGUAGUAGGGAUGACCAGGGAUGUUCUCUGUUUAAUGAGUCCUCCAGAUCAGAGGCAGUAGGGAUGACCAGGGAUGUUCUCUGUUUAAUGAGUCCUCCAGAUCAGAGGCAGUAGGGAUGACCAGGGAUGUUCUCUGUUUAAUGAGUCCUCCAGAUCAGAGGCAGUAGGGAUGACCAGGGAUGUUCUCUGUUUAAUGAGUCCUCCAGAUCAGAGGCAGUAGGGAUGACCAGGGAUGUUCUCUGUUUAAUGAGUCCUCCAGAUCAGAGGCAGUAGGGAUGACCAGGGAUGUUCUCUGUUUAAUGAGUCCUCCAGAUCAGAGGCAGUAGGGAUGACCAGGGAUGUUCUCUGUUUAAUGAGUCCUCCAGAUCAGAGGCAGUAGGGAUGACCAGGGAUGUUCUCUGUUUAAUGAGUCCUCCAGAUCAGAGGCAGUAGGGAUGACCAGGGAUGUUCUCUGUUUAAUGAGUC